This 252-nucleotide ribosomal RNA is filed under the name uncultured bacterium. Its description in RNAcentral is "partial 16S ribosomal RNA". It matches the Rfam family "Bacterial small subunit ribosomal RNA", at positions 57 to 305 of the family's 1533-position model. The record is from RNAcentral.
GCAAGUCGAGCGGAAACGAGAAGUAGCUUGCUACUUCGGCGUCGAGCGGCGGACGGGUGAGUAAUGCUUGGGAACAUGCCUUGAGGUGGGGGACAACAGUUGGAAACGACUGCUAAUACCGCAUAACGUCUACGGACCAAAGGGGGGGAUCUUCGGACCUCUCGCUCAUUGAUUAGCCCAAGUGAGAUUAGCUAGUUGGUAAGGUAAUUGCUUACCAAGGCGACGAUCUCUAGCUGGUUUGAGAGGAUGAUC